UACAGAGGGUGCAAGCGUUGAUCGGAUUUACUGGGCGUAAAGCGCACGCAGGCGGUCUGGCAAGUCGGAUGUGAAAUCCCCGGGCUCAACCUGGAAACUGCAUCAGAAACUGGCAUGCUAGAGUCUUGUAGAGGGGGGUAGAGUUCCAGGUGUAGCGGUGAAAUGCGUAGAGAUCUGGAGGAAUACCGGUGGCGAAGGCGGCCCCCUGGACAAAGACUGACGCUCAGGUGCGAAAGCGUGGGGAGCAAACAGG
RNAcentral lists this unclassified non-coding RNA (253 nucleotides) under uncultured Enterobacteriaceae bacterium. Its description in RNAcentral is "contains 16S-23S intergenic spacer region". It matches the Rfam family "Bacterial small subunit ribosomal RNA", at positions 524 to 776 of the family's 1533-position model. Lineage: Bacteria; Pseudomonadati; Pseudomonadota; Gammaproteobacteria; Enterobacterales; Enterobacteriaceae. The record is from RNAcentral.